ACGAGCUUGAGGAAAUAGACAUUUCGCGAUGGAAGAUGUACAGAAAAACAUCCAAGAAGACUGGCAAAACCGUGAAUUCGUGGAAGUUGUCUCGGAGGGCAUUAAAAAGAUCGCGGAAUUUCUGAAUGACUUCGGUAACGAAGGGAGAGACUUUGUCCUAGCACCUUGAUACCAGAAAGCACAGAAUAUUUUUGUAAAUAUGAGUCAACAAUAGCAAUGCUGAUAUAUAAACCCAAACAACAAUGGACAACAAAGAAUUCAUUCCCUGAAGAGAACAAGAAUAUGACUAGCAUCAGGCUAGAGUUAGAGAAUUAUCCAAAGGACUGAAACAAUUUUUUAGAGUUAAAAUUCACAUGGUCACAUUUCAACAUUUCUUAUUUUUUAGUCAAUGUUGAGAGUCUGGAAUCCUUCCCAAAAGCAGUUAAUAAACUGAAAAAAAUAUUUUUUGUUAAGAUAACAACUAAAACCCUUACCAACAACUUUGUUGACUAAAUUCCCCUACUAGCUGAAUACAGUAUUCACACACCUUCCUCAUCCUAGUUAUACAGUGAGACUAAGCUAGCAGUAGCAUCAUUUGCAAUACUAGUUUUGAUGGUUUGUGUGGUUGCAAGCCGCAGUCAUUUAUUAUACAUUUUUCAUAUGAUCUAUGUAACUUUCUAAAUCAACUUUUUCCCACUACUUUAAUUAUCAACACCCCUCCCCCCAUCAAUAGCAUACAGAUGAUUUCACAAAGAUUCUCUGGUAUUGGCCUAGGUUACAUGCAGAAAUCGUUAAUUAAUCGAUAAUUAUGCACGCCUCAACAUCAAUGAAUGUUCAGUGGCGGAUCCAGGCAUGGUGACGGAGGGGGGGAUGUAACCCCCCCCCCCCUCCUUGUUGGGCAAAAAAAAUCAUAAAUCGUUGCCAAUUGUUAUAGCCGUAUUCGAUGUAUCGCGAUGCUGGACGUAAACCAGACAAUAUUUGCAACAGGAAUGGAAGGUCACUGCACUUGGUGAAACAGGGCAUGAAUUAUAAAUCUGAAUGGUCUGAUCGGCGGAACACAAAAGCCUAAAACCAGAACAGCAUAAAGGGAUAGCACUUUGCAACAUUUUGUUAUCCCUUAAAAGAUAGCACAUUGGGUGUGGCGAUUUCUAACCCUAAGCUCUAAAAUCACUGUUAGAGCCCUAAGGGAAAGUAAAAGCAUAAGAAUUUUAUUUUAAGAUUUAUAAAUCCUGAAUCCGCCACUGACAUUGAUUUUAUCAACUUGUAAACUAACACUGAGCUGUGAAUGUACAAAAAAGUUACAAUAAUAAAACCAAAUUUAUAGGUAAA
Molecule: long non-coding RNA, 1308 nt
Organism: Nematostella vectensis (starlet sea anemone)
Lineage: Eukaryota; Metazoa; Cnidaria; Anthozoa; Actiniaria; Edwardsiidae
Exons: 2
Source: RefSeq, a predicted model, not a curated record